RNAcentral lists this long non-coding RNA (211 nucleotides) under Vombatus ursinus (common wombat). RNAcentral's name for it is "lncRNA (ENSVURG00010005743.1)". The record is from RNAcentral. Lineage: Eukaryota; Metazoa; Chordata; Mammalia; Diprotodontia; Vombatidae.
UCCUGGGGGACUUCUCCGCCACGCUGCUCGGAUCUCGGGGCGCCCGUCUCCCUGCGUCCCCGGCCAGGCCCUGCCCUGCCCAGGAGGGCGCUGCUGGCACUGGGGCUCCAGGACCCAGGAUCCGGAAAAUAGCAAGAAAAUUAGUAUGCCUGUGCUCCCUUGGGACUCACUGGAAACUGUACCGUGACAUCUGCUGGGACUUAGUCUGGGG